CCUACGGGUGGCAGCAGUGAGGAAUAUUGGUCAAUGGGCGCGAGCCUGAACCAGCCAAGUCGCGUGAGGGAAGACGGCCCUAUGGGUUGUAAACCUCUUUUGUCGGGGAGCAAAAGACGCCACGCGUGGCGUUCCGAAAGUACCCGAAGAAAAAGCAUCGGCUAACUCCGUGCCAGCAGCCGCGGUAAUACGGAGGAUGCGAGCGUUAUCCGGAUUUAUUGGGUUUAAAGGGUGCGCAGGCGGAAGAUCAAGUCAGCGGUAAAAUUGAGAGGCUCAACCUCUUCGAGCCGUUGAAACUGUUUGUCUUGAGUGAGUGAGAAGUAUGCGGAAUGCGUGGUGUAGCGGUGAAAUGCAUAGAUAUCACGCAGAACUCCGAUUGCGAAGGCAGCAUACCGGCGCUCAACUGACGCUCAUGCACGAAAGUGUGGGUAUCGAACAGGAUUAGAUACCCUAGUAGUC
This 459-nucleotide ribosomal RNA is filed under the name uncultured bacterium. RNAcentral's name for it is "partial 16S ribosomal RNA". It matches the Rfam family "Bacterial small subunit ribosomal RNA", at positions 338 to 795 of the family's 1533-position model. The record is from RNAcentral.